CAUGAUUUACAUUUGAGUGAGUGGCGAACUGGUGAGUAACACGUGGGAAACCUGCCCAGAAGCGGGGGAUAACACCUGGAAACAGAUGCUAAUACCGCAUAACAACUUGGACCGCAUGGUCCGAGUUUGAAAGAUGGCUUCGGCUAUCACUUUUGGAUGGUCCCGCGGCGUAUUAGCUAGAUGGUGGGGUAACGGCUCACCAUGGCAAUGAUACGUAGCCGACCUGAGAGGGUAAUCGGCCACAUUGGGACUGAGACACGGCCCAAACUCCUACGGGAGGCAGCAGUAGGGAAUCUUCCACAAUGGACGAAAGUCUGAUGGAGCAACGCCGCGUGAGUGAAGAAGGGUUUCGGCUCGUAAAACUCUGUUGUUAAAGAAGAACAUAUCUGAGAGUAACUGUUCAGGUAUUGACGGUAUUUAACCAGAAAGCCACGGCUAACUACGUGCCAGCAGCCGCGGUAAUACGUAGGUGGCAAGCGUUGUCCGGAUUUAUUGGGCGUAAAGCGAGCGCAGGCGGUUUUUUAAGUCUGAUGUGAAAGCCUUCGGCUCAACCGAAGAAGUGCAUCGGAAACUGGGAAACUUGAGUGCAGAAGAGGACAGUGGAACUCCAUGUGUAGCGGUGAAAUGCGUAGAUAUAUGGAAGAACACCAGUGGCGAGGCGGGCUGUCUGGUCUGUAACUGACGCUGAGGCUCGAAAGUAUGGGUAGCAAACAGGAUUAGAUACCCUGGUAGUCCAUACCGUAAACGAUGAAUGCUAAGUGUUGGAGGGUUUCCGCCCUUCAGUGCUGCAGCUAACGCAUUAAGCAUUCCGCCUGGGGAGUACGGCCGCAAGGCUGAAACUCAAAGGAAUUGACGGGGGCCCGCACAAGCGGUGGAGCAUGUGGUUUAAUUCGAAGCUACGCGAAGAACCUUACCAGGUCUUGACAUACUAUGCAAAUCUAAGAGAUUAGACGUUCCCUUCGGGGACAUGGAUACAGGUGGUGCAUGGUUGUCGUCAGCUCGUGUCGUGAGAUGUUGGGUUAAGUCCCGCAACGAGCGCAACCCUUAUUAUCAGUUGCCAGCAUUAAGUUGGGCACUCUGGUGAGACUGCCGGUGACAAACCGGAGGAAGGUGGGGAUGACGUCAAAUCAUCAUGCCCCUUAUGACCUGGGCUACACACGUGCUACAAUGGAUGGUACAACGAGUUGCGAACUCGCGAGAGUAAGCUAAUCUCUUAAAGCCAUUCUCAGUUCGGAUUGUAGGCUGCAACUCGCCUACAUGAAGUCGGAAUCGCUAGUAAUCGCGGAUCAGCAUGCCGCGGUGAAUACGUUCCCGGGCCUUGUACACACCGCCCGUCACACCAUGAGAGUUUGUAA
RNAcentral lists this ribosomal RNA (1355 nucleotides) under Lactiplantibacillus plantarum. RNAcentral describes it as "bacterial SSU rRNA". It matches the Rfam family "Bacterial small subunit ribosomal RNA", at positions 74 to 1417 of the family's 1533-position model. The record is from RNAcentral. Lineage: Bacteria; Bacillati; Bacillota; Bacilli; Lactobacillales; Lactobacillaceae.